Molecule: ribosomal RNA, 1191 nt
Filed under: Halococcus sp. KeC-14
Lineage: Archaea; Methanobacteriati; Methanobacteriota; Halobacteria; Halobacteriales; Halococcaceae
Description: bacterial SSU rRNA
Rfam family: Archaeal small subunit ribosomal RNA
Source: RNAcentral
CCCGGAUACCGCUUUCACGUUGGAAAAACGGAAAGCUGGAAACGGUCCGCCGCCGGAGGACGUGACUGCGCUUCCAAAAGGUAGACGGUGGGGUAACGGCCCACCGUGCCAAUAAUCGGUACGGGUUGUGAGAGCAAGAGCCCGGAGACGGAAUCUGAGACAAGAUUCCGGGCCCUACGGGGCGCAGCAGCCGCGAAACCUUUACACUGCACGACAGUGCGAUAAGGGGAUCCCGAGUGCGAGGGCAUACAGUCCUCGCUUUUCGUGACCGUAAGGUGGUCACAGAAUAAGGGCUGGGCAAGACCUUUUGCCAGCCGCCGCGGUAAUACCGGCAGCCCGAGUGAUAGCCAAUUUUAUUGGGCCUAAAGCGUCCGUAGCCGGCCGAACGGGUCCGUCGGGAAAUCCACCCGCUUAACGGGUGGGCGUCCGGCGGAAACCAGUCGGCUUGGGGCCGGGAGACCAGAGGGGUACGUCCGGGGUAGGAGUGAAAUCCUGUAAUCCUGGACGGACCACCGGUUGCGAAAGCGCCUCUGGAGAACGGACCCGACGGUGAGGGACGAAAGCUAGGGUCUCGAACCGGAUUAGAUACCCGGGUAGUCCUAGCCGUAAACGAUGCUCGCUAGGUGUGACGCAGGCUACGAGCCUGCGUUGCGCCGUAGGGAAGCCGAGAAGCGAGCCGCCUGGGAAGUACGUCCGCAAGGAUGAAACUUAAAGGAAUUGGCGGGGGAGCACUACAACCGGAGGAGCCUGCGGUUUAAUUGGACUCAACGCCGGACAUCUCACCGGCACCGACAACGUGCAGUGACGGUCAGUUUGAUGAGCUUACCUGAGCCGUUGAGAGGAGGUGCAUGGCCGCCGUCAGCUCGUACCGUGAGGCGUCCUGUUAAGUCAGGCAACGAGCGAGACCCGCGUCCAUAAUUGCCAGCAGCACCCUUGUGGUGGCUGGGUACAUUAUGGAGACUGCCGUCGCUAAGACGGAGGAAGGAACGGGCAACGGUAGGUCAGUAUGCCCCGAAUGUGCCGGGCGACACGCGGGCUACAAUGGCCAGGACAGUGGGACGCUACCCCGAGAGGGGACGCUAAUCUCCUAACCCUGGUCGUAGUUCGGAUUGCGGAUUGAAACUCAUCCGCAUGAAGCUGGAUUCGGUAGUAAUCGCGUUUCAGAAGAGCGCGGUGAAUACGUCCCUGCUC